Molecule: long non-coding RNA, 272 nt
Filed under: Mytilus galloprovincialis (Mediterranean mussel)
Lineage: Eukaryota; Metazoa; Mollusca; Bivalvia; Mytilida; Mytilidae
Source: RNAcentral
GUGGUGUACAUGACACAUUGUAUAAGUUCUAUUACCUUUCUGUUUGUGAUAAUUUUGAUUAAAAUAGUAAUAUUUUAACUUUUUUGUAAUAUGUGCACUUUGGUAUGUUAACUAGCAUUGUCCCUUAGUGCCUCUUGCAGUUUUGUCACUUUAAAUAGUACUGACUCCUCUGCACAAGGCAUGAGGAUGAGUCAUACCAGUUAUGUGCAACUUCUUACAAUAUCUUACUGUAUCAUUAAUGUCCCGAUACACAUUUUAAUAUGCACCCACCA